RNAcentral lists this long non-coding RNA (1042 nucleotides) under Homo sapiens (human). RNAcentral's name for it is "novel transcript". The record is from RNAcentral. Lineage: Eukaryota; Metazoa; Chordata; Mammalia; Primates; Hominidae.
GCACAGGUUAUUUGCAUGAAGGGAUGAAGUGGCAGGAGAAAUGAAGUCUUCCUAACUCUGGCCUCCUGCUGCUACACAAGCCAGGCCAAUGAUGUGGCAAGUCCAAGGGGCACAUGGCUUUUCAGUGUCAUUGUUUGAGGAGGCCAUGAGUGGUUUAGCUGGUGGCCUCUGCUUCUUUUUCUUUUGAGUGCUUCUGAAUACAUGACUGUGCUCUGAAUACAGAGCUACCACUGCGGGGUAAACCAAGCCACAGCUGUCCUCUUCCAAGGUUAGGGUCGCUGCUCAGCAGGAGCUGAUGUGCUACAAGGAAUGAUGAUCUUCUACUGGACAACAGAACCAGGCCUCCUGACUGCCCCUCCCUGCGCUCCGGGCCUGCAGAAGGCGCCUGAUGUGACUUCGCAUUAUUUUGAAGCUGGAAAGGCAGACAUUUUAAGCCCUAAAGAGGUUUUGCCUUCUGAGGGCUGUUAAAAUUGACUACGCUAUAUGAAAUCAACAUGCUGGAACAUAAUAAUGAGGACAAUGAGGCAUUCAGGGAAAUCAUCAAUAUCAACAGACAACAGAAUAUUAUCCUAAGAUGUUGUUGUAGGUUACAUUGUGCCUCACAGAAAGAUGUAUUGAAGUCCUAAUCCCCAGUUUCUGUGAGUGUGGCCUUAUUUGGAAAUAGAGUCUCUGCAGAUGUAAUCAAGUUAAGACAAGGUCAUCGUGAAUUAGGUGUCCAAUGAUUGAUGUCCUUAUGAGAAGAGAGGGAGAUUUGAAUACAGACACAGAGACACAAACGGAGGGAAGAAGGCUGGUGACUGAGUCCUCGUCCCCCAUCUCCUAUGCCUGCACAGAGGAGAACUCUUUGUAAACAUCAAGUGUCAUGACCAUCAGCCCCUGGAAAACAUCUGGUCUGCCUUCACUAGAGGACCAUUUUCAAUUACUUUGGGGAUAAGAAGAUUGGCCCUGAUGGAAAGUGAAUUGCUCAUGAGAUCCAGUCAAUGAAAGAAAAAAAGAAAACUGUACUUUAGCUCAGGAACUAGAAUAAAGUUUCCAAAAAACA